Dreissena polymorpha is the source of this 6973-nucleotide long non-coding RNA. RefSeq lists it as uncharacterized. Lineage: Eukaryota; Metazoa; Mollusca; Bivalvia; Myida; Dreissenidae. The record is from RefSeq and is a predicted model, not a curated record. The transcript is spliced from 10 exons.
GAUGGCUGUCCUGCACUGUACUACAGGUGGGCUGGGAGGGAGAGAGUAAGCUGGCUACGCUGGCUACUCAGGAGGAUGGAGUGAGGUGGCCAGAGUCAGUCUGCUACAGCAGCACCACAUCAUCCAUCAUUGUGGGACAGAAGUGGGACGACACCAUUUUGGUGUUCAGAGUGGAAUAGUGUGUACAUUUGCUGCUGGGUCGGGACAACGAUGCUGAGGAUGUGGGGGACAAGCAUGACGCAGAAGGUGAGCACCAGCAUUGAUAUCCAGUUGGCCAAGCAACAGCACCAGUCUGGCCUGCAGGAGCCCAAUACAGAACCAUCCUUUCCCUCCCCUGAUCCCUAGCUCCUCCCACUGGACCUCCGGCCUCAAAGGGUCAGCAUCGUUACACAAGUCUGUGCAAUAAAUCCUCAGCACGUCAAGUUUUCAUGCGCUGUUAUGAACAACCGAAAUAUCCGUGUCGAGAUUUCCCCAAGCAAGCCCGAGUAGUUUUGUUUAGCUCUAGUGCCCGAGUGGGAUGAGUGUUACAGAAGCGAGACGUUAUAGCAGUACAUAUGGUAACGCUAACAGUUAACGCAAACAGUUAGUUCCUGCUGUGGACAUCACGAAGAAUCUCACGAAGAAUUAAACGUUGAAUAAUUUGUUUAAUUCUUUAUAAGACAGCUAUAUAUUCAGCAAGGAACGAGAGAAAAAAAGGAACAAUUGAAAUGAUUCAUUCAGAAGUAUAUCUGCUGUAGAUAGUUAGGACAGUAGUAGCGUUACAGACUGUCCUCAGCGCACAAUAUAUUCAUGUGGUGCACCACAGACGCAAAUUCCCCCAUUAUUGAAAACAAGUUGCUAAAAGUAAACACGUCCGGUUAUGUACUCCGAGCCCAAAGGGCAUUGCAUUGAAUUGGGACUAAAGAAGGCUAAAAAACAUGACACCAGUUUUGUUGUAUGCUCCAGUACACCAUUCGACUCUCAGCCCGAAGUUAAUCAGAACUCAAACUCGGCCCUUAACAAUAUCCGCGAGGCCAGCAUAUCAGCUCAGCUUCUGAGCUUCAGCAACUGCUAAGCUCAGAAGACCAAGGAGUAGUGAAAGGCUCAGCCAAAUCAAAGUCCAGCGAUGUGAGGGUGAGACAGCCUUCCCAUGUCCUCGUAUUGCAACAUGAAGGACAUUUUAGCUGAAACUAACAAGGGAGAGAACUGUAGAUCUGCACCAGCACAGAGCACCAGCAUUGAUAUCGAGUUGGCCCAGCAACCGCACGAGUCCCGCCUGCAGGAGCCCCAGUCCAGAACAACCCUUCCCCUCCUCUGACUUCUAACUCCUUCCCCUUGACCUCCUGACUGAAAAAGUCAGCAUCGUUGAACAACUCCGUUCUGCAGGAAAUUCUGAGCAUGAUUCUGGUCAAACGUCGAGUUGUCCACACAUAAGCCUGGGUAGUUUUGUUAAGCUAGAGUUCCGCGUGGGCCUGAGAGGGACGAGUUUUACAGACACGAAAAGUUAUAGCAGUAGUUAUGGUAACGCUAGCAGUCAGUUGUUGCUGUUGGACAUCACAACAAAUAUCCUGAAGAACAAAAAGUUCAAUAACUUGUUCCAAUCUUUAUGGGACAAACAGAAAUUGAACGGGAGAAAAUCAAGGAACAAUAAAAGCUUAAGCUUUCCUAGUGGGAUGCUUGUGCUGUUGAUAGUUUAGAUGACAGUAGGGUUACGGACUGCCCCAGAUUGUCCAUUCAGCGGCCAAAAUAUCAUAAUAGAACGGACUUUUGGCAAUAUUACCGACAAAGAAAAGCAGUAAUGACUUGGUUGUGAAUACCCAGAGCACGAUACAUCCAUGCUGACACAAAAAGGCAGUAAUGACUUAGUGGUGAAAACCUAGAGCACGCUACAUCCUUGCUGACAAAGAAAUGCAGUAAUGACUUGGUUGUGAAUACCCAGAGCAUGCUACAUCCAUGCUGACACAGAAAGGCAGUAAUGACUAUGCUGUGAACACCCAGAGCAUGCUACAUCCAUGCUGACACAGAAAGGCAGUAAUGACUAUGCUGUGAACACCCAGAGCAUGCUACAUCCAUGCGGAAACAGAAAGGCAGUCACGACUAUGCUGUGAACACCCAGAGCACAAUAUAUCCAUGCUGACACAGAAAGGCAGUAAUGACUAUGCAGUGAACACCCAGAGCAAGAUAUAUCCAUGCUGACACAGAAAAGCAGUAAUGACUAUGCUGUGAACACCCAGAGCACAAUACAUCAUUUGCUGACACAGAAAGGCAGUAAUGACUUGGCUCUGAACACAGAGCACAAUACAUCCAUGCUGACAAAGAAAGGCAGUAAUGACUUGGCUGUGAACACAGAGCAACAUACAUCCGUGCUGACACAGAAAGGCAGUAAUGACUUGGCUGUGAACACAGAGCUUAAUAUAUCCAUGCUGACACAGAAAGGCAGUAAUGACUUGACUGUGAACACAGAGCACAAUACAUCCAUGCUGACACAGAAAGGCAAUUAUGACUUGGUUGUGAACACAGAGCGCAAUACAUCCUUGUUGACACAGAAAAGCAGUAAUGACUUUGCUGUGAACUCAGAGCACGAUACAUCCAUGCUGACACAGAGAGGCAGUAAUGACUUGGAUGUAAACACCCAGAGCACAAUACAUCCAUACUGACACAGAAAGACAGUAAAGACUUGGUUGUAAACACCCAGAGCACAAUACAUCCAUGAUGACACAGAAAGGCAGUAAAGACCUUGUUGUAAACACUAAGAGAUCCAUACAUACAUGGGGUGUGCCACAGCCGCAAAUUACGCCCACUAUUGUGAACAAGGUGCUUAAAGUGAACAUGUCUGGGUUUGGUAUGAGGACUUAGCACUCCAAGCCCAGAAGGCCUCGCAUUGAAUUGAUGCAAGAGAAGGCUUUAAAAAAUAUUAGCAGUUUUGUUGUGUGGUCCAGUACGCCCUUCGACUCUCAACCUGAAGAAAGCAGAACUCAAACUCGGCUCUUAGCAAUAUCAGCAAGGCCAGCAUGUCAUCUCCGCUUCUUGAGCUUCAGUGAACUUUACUAGCAAACAUGACAAACGUCAUUGAAAUGAAAGUCGAUGACAACCCCCUUCUUGCACAAAUACUACAACUUGCUUAAGAAAAUCAGCAUGAAGACGUCUUGCGUCAGACUACCAAGCCUCCUAUCAAUAUAUCCUCCCAUGUUGGCUACAUCAACACUUCCAACAGCAGAGCCUUGGUGAGUUUGACUUCCGUCUCAGCAUCCAUGUCGCUUAGCAACAAUUGAAUGAUGGGCGUCGACAAAUUAGGCCGGACAAGUCGCUCGAACUGAAACGAUCUGAUCCAACAGGUAGAGCAGGCGUUGCAUGACACGUCCGUUAAUGUGACUGACCUCGAUAUGUUGUUCUCGAAUAAUGUGAACCUUAGGCCUGGAGAGCAGUAUGCGAUUGACGCCAUUCAACAACAGUUGUUGUCAGCAAUUCUCAGGUUUGGGGUGGCGACUUCAGCGUCAGGGCUUGCUCCAUCUCUGUCUAUGGCCCAGUCCCAGCAGCAGCAGCAACAAGAACAAUAAGUAGUAUCUGAGCAGUGUUCUGGGAUAUGGGGCUUCAUGUAUGUGCUUAAAUUGUCAUCCCAGAAUAGCCUGUGCAGACUGCACAUACAUUAAGUCCUAUUAAAUUGUCAUCCCAGAUUAGCCUGUGCAGACUGCACAUACAUUAAGUCCUAUUAAAGUGUCAUUUCAGAUUAGCCUGUGCAGACUGCACCUACAUUAAGUCCUAUUAAAGUGUCAUCCCAGAUUAGCCUGUGCAGAUUGCACAUGUAUUAAGUCCUAUUAAAGUGUCAUCCCAGAUUAGCCUGUGCAGACUGCACAUACAUUAAGUCCUAUUAAAGUGUCAUCCCAGAUUAGCCUGUGCAGAUUGCACAUACAUUAAGCCCUAUGUUCCCAGAAUGAGGCUCAUAUAGUUCACUUAACAUCAGUAUUUGUUCUGCCUGAUUGAGAAAAAGGUCCAAGCAUCAAAUGUUCCUGAAUUUUGUUUUAAGAGGAGGUUCCUACAGGAUCCCAUGCAGUCAUAGAUCGGUACCCAGCUGAACAACAGGCUGUCUGGUAAGCUGGGCCCGGAUAGGUGCAGCCAGUCUAAAGCUGGGGCUCCAAACUUUCCUGCCAAGUGGGCUGAUAUUACCUCUUCUACAAGGGACAUAUGUCAGUGAUGCGCAAAGAGCUGGUUUUCUGUUCACAGAGAAAUAUCCUAACAACUCCAACUCAGCCACUACAUCUCAAUAGACAACCCGAAUAUCAAGGCGUUAAGUUUGUUCUGGAUGCAGUUACAGUCACAGCUUUCAAGCCAGCAGCUGUCGAUGUGCUGAGAUUCUCUCCUCUCCAUGUUAUCUGACCUGCUGCCUGUGAACAUCCUGCACAUAGAACCUUUAUCCCAAUCGAUGUAAUUAAACCGGCCAAUCAAAAAGAUAGCCUGGUACAGCACUUGUCAUUAGAUUGACGCCAUGCAUACCUUUGAAGAUCAUUUAUACAUACAAUUUAAGCAUGAUAGUCAAUAAGUGCCUGCGUUGGCUUCUUAAAAAACUCGCAGUCCUGAGCAUUUACGAUGGAAUUCCUCCUCUUGAAAUAUUGGGAAGGCAGGAAAACACCUGACAAUAUUUAACUUAUUUAUUGUAUAAACAAGACAUGCUUAUUUUUAGUUUUUACCUAUAAAAUAGCAAUAUGUGCUAGGUAAAAUAAUUGAUCAGAACGGUUCAUAAUUGUGAUGCUUCUAUUUUGAUAUGUCUGUCAUUCUGUCUGUGUUCAUAUUUCUCAUCGGUUUGCUCUUUUGAGGCAGUAUUUAGUUGAGAAUUUCAUGUAGUGAUGUAAUACUAAAAUAUCAAAUAAUAAUUUGAUUUAUUCAAACUAUAUUUACCUUCUGUUAAUUAUUGAUUUAUUUAUUGACAACAGACACUUUGUUUAAUAUUAACAACAGUUAAGCGCGUUAUAAAAAUUGUGUGAAUGUACAUGUGAAUUGCGAUAAUUGAUGCACACAUUAAUUGAAAAACUAUUUAAAUAAAGUGGAAUUUAGAAGUGCAUCAUAAUUGUAAUGGAGUUUAUUUAAUUAUUAAAAAAGGAUGCUUUCAUUGUUGAAAAUAUGAUAGUAAUUCAUCCACAAUUAAUUUUGUUUCAAAGUGAGUAUUUUCAUGAAUAAUGUUCCUAGAUAUGGUUGUAGAUUGUUCUUGUUGUAUCAUAUACUGACAUGCUCAUUAUUUAUGUUGACAUUUGCAUUCUAGCAUUAAAAGUUCAUUAUGCUUUGAAUAUUUGUAUGUACACAUUUGCGACCAGCUUUUCUAAUGUAAUAAGUGAAUAACGUUACACAGAUUUAUGUGUCACUGUUUAUAAGUUUAUUUUGUCGUUUGUAAAUAGAUCAACUGCAAAGCUAAUGUUUUUGUUUGUACAUUAUUCAUAAAAUGUUGCCAUUUCAAACAGAUACAUUCACUGUAUGAAUUCAUUUGUACAAAAUUGUUACAUAUUAAACAUCAUUUACAUAUCAGGCAAUAGAGAAAAAGAAUUGCUUUGGAUGAAUGCGCACAUUAACCUGUAUAGUUAAUUAAGAUAUGCAUAAUAUCAGAUCAUUAACAUAAUAAUAUACUUUAAGCAUUAGAAACACCUUGUUUUAUGUCAAGCUUUUCAGUUAUUAUAAUAAGCAACUAUUAUCUGGAAAUUUGGAAAACAGUAAAGAACGAUUCAAGGGAGAGCAAUUGUGAUAUACUAAAUAAAAGUCGUCUCCCUUGUUAGAGUAUAAUUGUACCUCUCAACGUAACAAGAACAUUGAAUCUUUUUUUUUAUUAUUCCACACUAUAAACUAUAUACUAUAUGCAUUCAAUAAUCACUAAAGAAAUAUGGUUUGCAUAAUUGUUUAUUUCUAUGCGUUAUACCAAAUUUACCAGUAUGGCAUCAAUUUAAGUUCAUCAUAUUUUAAUUGCCAAAAUUGGCCAUACAGUGCUAAAAGUUUGGUAUUCUGAAUAUUAUAAGUGCAUGUUCUCAUACAAAUUCACAUUGUAUAUUUUAACACUGAAGCAAUAUGUGUUAAUAUAUUAAUUUUUAUUUAUUGACUUGUUGUUGCUUGUUAAGGUGUCUAAUUUUGAAUUAUAGCUGUUAAUUGAUUGUGACUAUUUUCCAGUUUUGAAUUAUUGCUUUUAGUUGAUUGUUUACAAGUUUGUAAAAGCUGUUUUCAUGUUGACUGCUCCACAUUAGAUGUCAUUGACGCGCAUUCACUGCGGCCAGGUUCCGUAAAACUCCCAACUCAUCUGAUGUCUUAGUAUAAGAUUCCAUACAUACGUUGUUGUUUAUAUCAGCUUGCUUUGCAUUAAACAUGUCUGCUUUGUUGUUGAACAAUUAUACACAGCUUUUUAUUGGACAAAAUUCUGUAAUAUUUCAAAUUUUUGCUUUCAAUUUUUCCAACAAAAAUAUAUUUUGUUUAUUUGUAUGUAUAUUUAGCUAUAAUAAAAUUGUUUCUAUAAUAUAUAAACAACCUAUUUAUAAGUAAUAAACUAUAUUGGUAAAAGUAGAUUUAAGGUUCAAAAUCAUGUCUUAAUUUGUUCGAUUUUCCCAAAUUAACAUUUUGCAAUAGCAAAACUUUUUGAAUAAAGAAAACUUUAUGCAACGUACCACCAGGUCUUUUAACCAUUGAUUGUGUAUAACUAACGAUCAGGACUUAAUCAGAAAUUAAUAAUUGCCUUUGCACGGUUAUAAUGUUUGUGUUAUUAAAUUGAAUAAUUUCUGUAGUUUGGUGCACAUUAAUUGUUGUUGUUUUUUUAAAGACAUAGCACAUGUCAUAGCACAUGUCAUAUAAUAUAAUAUCAUUGUAGUUUUGGUAUGUUUAGGGAUAUAAUCAUGUUAAUGUAUGUGAUUUGCUGAUCCAUUUCUUGUUGUUUCACUCCAUUUAAUGUAUAUAGCCAUGCAUAGAGCAGGAAUAUUGUUGUACUGUGAAAAAAAUGUUGUUAUAGCAAAUAAAUAAUGUAUGUUAAUUA